CGGAGGGAAAAUGUAUGACCUUGCUUUGAUAGUUACCGCCUGAUGAUCCCAUAUCUUUUAUCCCCGAUCUCGACCUAUAGUAGCCCGACUUAUCCUUCACCAAGACCAUUAAAUAUGAGGUCGGGCAUACGAGGUCGAGGUGCGUACUUUUGACAAACUCGUAUUCUCUUCCCCCCGCUCUUUCCCAAUAACCUAGAGUAAUACAAAUUCUAUUUGGACCACAAUCCUUACCCUAUUUGAUUCCUUCUUCAACUCAAACAAUGGUUGAACACUUAGAAUAAAACAGCAACUCCUUGUCCUGCAAGGAUAAGGAUUACACAUGGCUAGGUCCUUCUUGGACUCUAUCUUCAACACCUAUAAAUACGUGAUCCAGGGUCAUUCUUGAGAUACAUUUUUCAUUAUUUCCAGUCUAUAGCCUCACGCACUUAAUUUCCUAUCUGACUUAAGCAUCGGAGCGGCAACGAGCACACAUCUCGUUGCCUUUGUUGCAGGUAUUCGAAGACCGUUCGUGUUCAUAAAAGUUCGGAGUUCAAUCAUCAAGUUCGAGAUCUUUUAGGUACUAUUUUUUGGCAGCAUCAUUGGCGCCGUCUGUGGGAAUCGCUACCAAAAGUCAUGGUCAAUACACGUUCAGGUCUUCCUCCAGCAAGCUCAUCUAUCCCAGAUAACUCUCCUCCUGAGGAACACCAUGUCCCUCAAGAAGAAUCGUCAGAGAUGCCGGCACCCCCUCAAGCCGUUGUUACUGUAGGAGCUUUUGAAGAGCUUUGUCAGCAGGUGGCUGCGUUAACCCAAUUGUUAAGCCAGAGAAAUUCGCACCUGUCGCAUACCCCAACCCCUGAAGGUGGUUUUAUGGUAGACGCCCGGGCUCGAGUCCAACGUACAGCUCAUGAUGACGGCGGGGUUGGAACUUCAGGUGCACCACCGGGGGUUUCAGGUUCAACGUCCGUUACAAUGGACUCCACUGAACUUGCUAGAAUCAUUCAUGAAGGGAUAGCAGCGAGUAUGCAAUAGAAUACUCGGGCAGCAACAGGGUCACCCUCAAUAUGCCAUUCACCCCAGAAGUCCUCUCGCAUCCUCUCCUCGACAGGUUCAAAUAUCCUCGAAUAAAGGAAUACGACGGGACAACCGACCCCAUCAAUCAUCUCAAUGUGUACACGGAUAUCAUGAACUUACAGGUUGCACUAGAUGCAGUAAUGUGCAAGGCCUUCCCUCAAACCCUCACAAACGCAGCUAGAGAUUGAUUUUCCACAUUGGAACCAAACUAUAUCGCCUCCUUCUCAGAUUUGGUCGAUAAGUUCUCCGCUUUCUUCUCAAGCAGCAAGCGAAUCAGAAAGACAGCUGCCUCACUCAUGCAGAUGCGUUAAGGACCCAAUGAGACACUUUGUAGUUUCAUGACCAAGUUCAAUAAAGAAAGACUUCAAAUCCCCGAUCUACAUAUCACUGCCGCAGUUCAGCUUUGACAUACGCCGUCAAGUGUGAAGCAUUCAAGAUGUCCUUGUCUAAGACCCCGUCGAAGUCGGUAACCGAGUUAAUCACACGAGCUGAGAAAUACAUCAAUAUGGAAGAAACCAUGGCCCCAAGAAGAGAAGUUUCCUCAUCAGAAAGGUUAGAUCAGAAAAGGCCACAUGAGUCUAGUUUGAGACAAGAUACACCUCAGGAUUGAUCAUCGCUUGACCUCGGUAUCACACCCACAAAGUAAUGGGCUUGCCGAAAUGACUAAUCGGAUCAUACUACAGGACCUUUGAACAAGAAUAGGGGAUGCCAAAGGUGAUUGGCUUGAUGAACUGCCCUCUAUACUAUGGGCAUUAAGGACUUCGCACAAAACAGUAACUCGUGAGAUGCUCUUUAUGCUUGCCUUUGGAAUUGAGGCUACCAUCCCUAUUGAGGUUAGCCUUCCCACAAUAAGGAAGCUCGAUAUGAAUAGGGAGAGACAUACUGAGCACCUUGACUUGCUUGAAGAAGUAAGGGAACAAGCUUCACUUAGAGCUGCAAGUUAUCAAAACAGAACGACGAAGCACUUCAACAACAAGGUCCAGACGAGAAGGUUCAAAACUGGUGAUUUUGUCCUUAGAAAAGCAGAAACUGUCGGUCACCAACUAGGGAAGCUCGGACCAACAUGGGAAGGACCCUGCGAGGUCAUAAAGGUGGAGCCUACAGCCUCAGAGACACAUUGGGGAAGCCGCUCCCAAGGCCAUGGAACGCCGAUAAUCUGAAAAUUUAUUACAAGUAACUAGCUAUAGCUAUAAUUUUUUUCUUUUAAGGCUUGCAUGCCCACUUUAUAUUUGUUCUAUUUCAUUUUUAUUUUUUGAGCUAUAAUGCCCUAACAACUAACUUUUCAAUAAGCUCGGGUAUCAACGCCCUUGAGCCCUCUUAGUAAUAAUGAAGUUUUCUUUAUGAUGUUGCUCCCC
RNAcentral lists this long non-coding RNA (2405 nucleotides) under Olea europaea subsp. europaea. The record is from RNAcentral. Lineage: Eukaryota; Viridiplantae; Streptophyta; Magnoliopsida; Lamiales; Oleaceae.